CGGGAGGCAGCAGUUAGGAAUCUUCCACAAUGGGCGAAAGCCUGAUGGAGCGACGCCGCGUGAGGGAUGAAGGCCCUCGAGUUGUAAACCUCUAAAAGGGGGACGAUAAUGACAGUACCCCUUGAAAAGCACCGGCUAACUCCGUGCCAGCAGCCGCGGUAAUACGGAGGGUGCAAGCGUUAUCCGGAAUCACUGGGCGUAAAGGGCGUGUAGGCGGCCUGUUAAGUCCGAUGUUAAAGACCGGGGCUCAACCCCGGCACGGCGUUGGAUACUGGCAGGCUAGACGGCUGGAGAGGAAAGUGGAAUUACCAGUGUAGCGGUGGAAUGCGUAGAUACUGGUAGGAACACCCAUUGCGAAGGCAGCUUUCUGGACAGCCCGUGACGCUGAGGCGCGAAAGUGUGGGGAGCAAACCGGAUUAGAUACCCGGGUAGUCCACACCCUAAAC
This 446-nucleotide ribosomal RNA is filed under the name uncultured bacterium. RNAcentral describes it as "bacterial SSU rRNA". It matches the Rfam family "Bacterial small subunit ribosomal RNA", at positions 342 to 807 of the family's 1533-position model. The record is from RNAcentral.